GCUUUCUUGUGGGAGAGUUAGCACCAAGACCCUCAUGGUCUGAGGGAACACAGAGGCUCUUGGGGGGUGGGGGUCAGGGGUUCUGGUCCUUGGAAUGCUGGUCAUAAAGGAAUGAUCUCCCUUGGCAAGUAUGCAGCCUUUGUUUCUCUGCCUGCUUAAGUCAAGCUUCUUUCUGUGAGGUAGCGGAUGCACAUUGCUGCCUAGCCCGCCGCCAUGGGACCUUCCCUCACGUUUAUUUCAGGACAGGAAGCAAAUGCAGCCUCACUCAGACAUGUGACUGGAAAAGACAAGGAUAUUUUAAAAUCUUUUACAUAACUGAGAAUAUUCUUCUUCGAUACUAAACGGAAACCUGGGAACAGGUGGUUUCUUAAAGGAUAAGAUUGCAUCUCUGAGUCCAUUCAAACAGUCAAGGGUAAAGGAGAAAUAAAGCACUUGGUCAGAUUGUCAGAAGCAAGCUGACAUUGAUAAAGAAGUUCGCGGAGUUUGUCUGUGGCGGUGCUUUUGACUCCAGUGCUAAAGGAUUGUCAACAAGGAUUAAUAUUCAUGGAAAACAAGAACUGCCGUGUAAUGCAGGUAGGCUCACUCACAGUGGCAUCCUCGCAGUCACCUGUGUGCUAGUGAGUGACCUGGGAUUUUUCUCCUCUUCCACCAAGUCAACUUUAGCCCAACAACCUCAAAACGAAUGAGCAACCACUGAUUUUCCAUGUUAAGUAUGCCUUAGCUAUCAUUAUAGCAUUAUUUGACUCUUAAUUACAAUCCGUGAUGUCAGAAAAAUACCUCACGUUACCUCCUUCUCUACUCUGGCAUUUGAAAACCUCAGAACUGUAAUUAAAAUGCAAAAAGAAAAAAAGUGUUACCAUAACAUAAAAGCCUUCACAGUUCAGGCAAUAUUUCCUCGUCUUCUAUUCAUUUUUCCCAAUUUUCUCUGCAUGAAUCGAUGUUGUCAAUAUAGUUUCAAUUAUGUUAAAUACAAGCAAUAAAUGGUGUCUACGCAGGUGUUUGUCCAAGCAAUAUUAUAUAACUAAGAAAGCUUCUUAUUUUAUUCUAUUUUAUUUAUUCUACUCUUAUUUAGUGGAAUUAUUCUUUUUCCUUCUCAGCCCUGUGCCUCAUGGUAUGGAGGACAGAACACCUACUCUUCCAUGCUGCCCUACAUGUUUGAAAAUGAAGAUGAUGACUCUGUGUGUGUGUGUGUGUGUGUGUGUGUGUGUGUGUGUGUGUGUGUUGUGGGGAGGGAUAUUUGUCUUCAGGCCACUGUGGCUCACUGAUAAAGUGUCAGCAGCUAAAUUUUCAAGUAUCCUUCCUAUUUUCAGAGUGAAGACAAUGAUCUCAGCAUGGUGCCCUAACUCUGCUCCCAAAGUCUCCUUAGAAGUGAGCCCAGAGAUGGUGGGAGACUUACCUUUUGUCCACUCGUCAGCCAUUCUUCUCUCUUUCCCAAACAGUGUGUUUGAAACUGUGUCCUAAUUACAGUUUGAUAAGUAUUCAUUGAUUUGUUGAUUGCUUCUUUCUUUAUUUUGUAUAUAGAUUCAUUCAUUCCUUUGUAUGAAAUUAGUUAAUUCAUAAACUUGGUUAAUAUUUAUUACUUUUUUAAUAUGACACAGGCACUAAAAUAAGUAAAAGCAUCUCAAAAAUGAAAACAAAAAUAAGUCUCUGUCCUUCAAGAUCUUCCAGUGAGGGAUAAAUACAGGUUGGCUCAAUUUUUUAAAUAUUUGCAAUACGAAAAUACCAAAUAUGAUU
This 1734-nucleotide long non-coding RNA is filed under the name Equus asinus (donkey). Its description in RNAcentral is "lncRNA (ENSEASG00005034490.1)". The record is from RNAcentral. Lineage: Eukaryota; Metazoa; Chordata; Mammalia; Perissodactyla; Equidae.